UACGUAGGGGGCGAGCGUUGUCCGGAUUCAUUGGGCGUAAAGCGCGGGCAGGCGGCCCGCUCAGUCGGCCGUGAAAGCGCCGGGCUCAACUCGGCGAGGUCGGGCGAUACUGGCGGGCUGGAGGCUGGUAGAGGGCGGUGGAAUUCCGGGUGUAGUGGUGGAAUGCGUAGAGCUCCGGAGGAACACCAGUGGCGAAGGCGGCCGCCUGGGCCAGUCCUGACGCUGAGCCGCGAAAGCGUGGGGAGCUAUCCGG
RNAcentral lists this ribosomal RNA (253 nucleotides) under uncultured bacterium. Its description in RNAcentral is "partial 16S ribosomal RNA". It matches the Rfam family "Bacterial small subunit ribosomal RNA", at positions 524 to 776 of the family's 1533-position model. The record is from RNAcentral.